This is a long non-coding RNA of Cornus florida, 795 nucleotides long. RefSeq lists it as uncharacterized. NCBI's taxonomy places the organism in Eukaryota, Viridiplantae, Streptophyta, Magnoliopsida, Cornales, Cornaceae. The record is from RefSeq and is a predicted model, not a curated record. The transcript has 3 exons.
ACUGUCUCACUGUUAGGGUUAGGGUUGCGGCGAUUCUGAGAGUUAGGGUGGUGGCGAUUCUGAUCUUCUAAGAGGCAUGUCUCCUCAAUCAUCAGGUUUACUUCCUGUGAAGGGAAAAUCUCAGUGAAAUGAGUGGAAUCGGAAAAUUAUGUUGAAUACCCGGUGUUCUUCAAGGAAGCGAUAUGCAAUUUAAGUGAGGUAAAAAAGGUGAUCGUACAAGAGAUUGGGUUUAGGUCUCUUUUAGACAUUGACUAUACCAAUUUGAAGCGCAAACUGUGCUUUUGGUUGGUAGAACACUUUGAUCCUAGAACAUCCUGUUUCACCUUUGAAUGUGGUGGUUGAAUCCUUGUUACGCCAAGUGGCGUUGAAGAGGUGCUUGACCUACCCUUGGGAAGAGGAGAAGAUGUGCCAAGCUAUAUUAUAGAAAAUGUGAAUUGGUUAGAAAAUGGUAAUUUUGUAAAGAACGGUGCAAUAGAAGUGCAAAACUUAGUGCAUCAAUUGGACGUUCUUCCUGUUGGGGAUGCGGAUCACUUCUAUUACCCAUAUCGAAAAAUGAGACAAGCAAAAAGUUGUUGUGGGCGGUUGACGAUGUGGAUGCUGUUAAAUCGUGUAAUUGGGGGAAAUUUGUUUUAGAUUGGUUGAGAAAAGACAUUGCGUCUUAUAAAAGAAAGGAAGGAAGAGAAAGUUGAAAUACAUACAUGAAUGUUUGUUCUUUCUCAUGGUAUGUUCUAAGAUAUAAUAUUUGUAAUGUGUCUAUCAUUUUAUUUCAAAUAACUAUAAUGUCAUUAUCAUAAU